This 265-nucleotide non-coding RNA is filed under the name Clostridium sp. RNAcentral describes it as "T-box sequence". It matches the Rfam family "T-box leader". From Rfam's summary of the family: Uncharged tRNA acts as the effector for transcription antitermination of genes in the T-box leader family. T-boxes are found upstream of many aminoacyl-tRNA synthetase genes and some amino acid biosynthetic genes usually in Gram-positive bacteria. Lineage: Bacteria; Bacillati; Bacillota; Clostridia; Eubacteriales; Clostridiaceae. The record is from RNAcentral.
GAAAAAAUCUUGAUGAGGAGGAGUAUAUAUAUAUUCCAAAGUUUAGAGAGGGAAGGCUGGUGAAAAUUCCCCUUAGGAAAUAUAUAGAAGGUAGCCUCGGAGUUGUUAAAUGAAAUCAAUAUAUAAUAAAAAUAUAUUGAAAGUAGAGUUAACCGUAGUUCCACCGUUAAAUGGAAAAUAGCAUUUAUUUUAUUUGUGCUAUGUUUGAGUGUGUAUUUCUAUACGAAUCUAGGUGGUACCGCGGAGUUAACCCUUCGUCCUUGUU